Molecule: ribosomal RNA, 403 nt
Filed under: uncultured bacterium
Lineage: Bacteria
Description: partial 16S ribosomal RNA
Rfam family: Bacterial small subunit ribosomal RNA
Source: RNAcentral
AUUGAACGCUGGCGGCAGGCCUAACACAUGCAAGUCGAGCGAGCGGCGGACGGGUGAGUAAUGUAUGGGGACUGCCCGAUAGAGGGGGAUAACUACUGGAAACGGUAGCUAAUACCGCAUACUAUCGGAUAACCCAUAUGGGAUUAGCUCGUAGGUGGGGUAAUGGACCCCCUAGGAGACGCUCCCUAGCUGGUCUGAGAUGAUGAUCAGCCACACUGGGACUGAGACACGGCCCAGACUCCUACGGAGGCAGCAGUGGGGAAUAUUGCACAAUGGGCGCAAGCCUGAUGCAGCCAUGCCGCGUGUAUGAAGAAGGCCCUAGGGUUGUAAAGUACUUUCAGUCGGGAGGCGUUACCGACAGAAGAAGCACCGGCUAACUCUGUGCCAGCAGCCGCGGUAAUAC